GGCUAGAUGGCCGAGCGGUCUAAGGCGCUACGUUCAGGAUAAUACCUGUACCACCCCACACAGGGUAGGAUUUCGUAGUCUCGAAAGAGGCGUGCGUUCGAAUCGCACUCUAGUCA
Non-coding RNA from Phialemonium atrogriseum, 116 nucleotides. The record is from the annotation of a RefSeq genome assembly. Lineage: Eukaryota; Fungi; Ascomycota; Sordariomycetes; Cephalothecales; Cephalothecaceae.